RNAcentral lists this ribosomal RNA (539 nucleotides) under uncultured methanogenic archaeon. RNAcentral's name for it is "bacterial SSU rRNA". It matches the Rfam family "Archaeal small subunit ribosomal RNA", at positions 784 to 1324 of the family's 1478-position model. The record is from RNAcentral. Lineage: Archaea; Methanobacteriati; Methanobacteriota.
UACGAGUACGGGGUGCGAAGUGAAAACGUGAAACGUGCCGCCUGGGAAGUACGGUCGCAAGGCUGAAACUUAAAGGAAUUGGCGGGGGAGCACCACAACGGGUGGAGCUGCGGUUUAAUUGGACUCAACGCCGGGCAGCUCACCGGAUAGGACAGCGGAAUGAUAGCCGGGCUGAAGACCUUGCUUGACCAGCUGAGAGGAGGUGCAUGGCCGUCGUCAGUUCGUACUGUGAAGCAUCCUGUUUAGUCAGGCAACGAGCGAGACCCACGCCAACAGUUGCUAGCAUGUUCUCCGGAAUGAUGAAAAAAACUGUUGAAAAAAGCCUCUGCUAAAGAGGAGGAAGGAAUGGGCAACGGUAGGUCAGCAUGCCCCGAAUUAUCCGGGCUACACGCGGGCUACAAUGGUCAGGACAGUGGGAAACGGCACUGAAAAGUGUAGUCAAUCUCCUAAACCUGUCCCAAGUUCGGAUUGUGGGCUGCAACUCGCCCACAUGAAGCUGGAAUCGGUAGUAAUCGCGUUUCAAAAUAGCGCGGUGAAUA